This 672-nucleotide ribosomal RNA is filed under the name uncultured bacterium. Its description in RNAcentral is "bacterial SSU rRNA". It matches the Rfam family "Bacterial small subunit ribosomal RNA", at positions 60 to 745 of the family's 1533-position model. The record is from RNAcentral.
AGUCGACGGUUAAGCAUCUUCGGAUGUGUAUAAAGUGGCGAACGGCUGAGUAACACGUGGGCAACCUGCCCUUUGCACUGGGAUAGCCUCGGGAAACCGAGGUUAAUACCGGAUACUCCAUAUUUGUCGCAUGGCGAAUAUGGGAAAGCUCCGGCGGCAAAGGAUGGGCCCGCGGCCUGUUAGCUAGUUGGUGGGGUAGUGGCCUACCAAGGCAAUGAUGGGUAGCCGGGUUGAGAGACCGACCGGCCAGAUUGGGACUGAGACACGGCCCAGACUCCUACGGGAGGCAGCAGUGGGGAAUCUUGCACAAUGGGCGAAAGCCUGAUGCAGCGACGCCGCGUGCGGGAUGAAGGCCUUCGGGUUGUAAACCGCUUUCAGCAGGGACGAGGCCGCAAGGUGACGGUACCUGCAGAAGAAGCCCCGGCUAACUACGUGCCAGCAGCCGCGGUAAUACGUAGGGGGCAAGCGUUAUCCGGAUUCAUUGGGCGUAAAGCGCGCGUAGGCGGUCUGUUAGGUCAGGAGUUAAAUCUGGGGGCUCAACCCCUAUCCGCUCCUGAUACCGGCAGGCUUGAGUCUGGUAGGGGAAGAUGGAAUUCCAAGUGUAGCGGUGAAAUGCGCAGAUAUUUGGAAGAACACCGGUGGCGAAGGCGGUCUUCUGGGCCAUNNNUGACG